Molecule: ribosomal RNA, 490 nt
Filed under: uncultured bacterium
Lineage: Bacteria
Description: partial 16S ribosomal RNA
Rfam family: Bacterial small subunit ribosomal RNA
Source: RNAcentral
AUUGAACGCUGGCGGCAGGCCUAACACAUGCAAGUCGAACGGUAACAGGAAGCAGCUUGCUGCUUUGCUGACGAGUGGCGGACGGGUGAGUAAUGUCUGGGAAACUGCCCGAUGGAGGGGGAUAACUACUGGAAACGGUAGCUAAUACCGCAUAACGUCGCAAGACCAAAGAGGGGGACCUUAGGGCCUCUUGCCAUCGGAUGUGCCCAGAUGGGAUUAGCUAGUAGGUGGGGUAACGGCUCACCUAGGCGACGAUCCCUAGCUGGUCUGAGAGGAUGACCAGCCACACUGGAACUGAGACACGGUCCAGACUCCUACGGGAGGCAGCAGUGGGGAAUAUUGCACAAUGGGCGCAAGCCUGAUGCAGCCAUGCCGCGUGUAUGAAGAAGGCCUUCGGGUUGUAAAGUACUUUCAGCGGGGAGGAAGGGAGUAAAGUUAAUACCUUUGCUCAUUGACGUUACCUGCAGAAGAAGCACCGGCUAACUCCGUG